This 1246-nucleotide long non-coding RNA is filed under the name Mus musculus (house mouse). Its description in RNAcentral is "long non-coding RNA chr5:81386294-81387540". The record is from RNAcentral. Lineage: Eukaryota; Metazoa; Chordata; Mammalia; Rodentia; Muridae.
UGUGUGUGUGUGUGAGUGUGUGUGUGUGUGUGUGUGUGUGUGUGAAGGAAAAUAGAACAGAACUGAGAUAUCUGGUACGUUGAAAGGCAGGCAUUCUAGAAUCAAAUGUACAAUGCAGGCAAAAGUACUUUUUUUUAAUUAAAUUUAUUUUUAAUAAUGUGUAAAUAUACAUGCCUGUUUCAGGGUUCAUAUACCCGAGUGGAGAUGGACAAAGCAGCCAAAAGAGGGUAUCAGAUCCUCAGGAUCUGGCGUUACAGUUGGUUAAGAGCCCUCUAAUGUUGGGGCUGGGAAUUAGACUUGGACCCUCUAGGAGAGUAGCCUGUGUGCUUGACCUCUCUCAGCCCUCCAACGCCAGCCAGAAGUACUUUAAGUGAUCUGCUCAGGUUUAAAAGGAGCCUAUGAGCCAAACAGAAAUAAGACAAAAUUUAUGUCAUUCUCAAAUUUAAAAUCAUAGACGUUUUCAAAGAAAUCACUAUUUCUAAAGACAAAAUGGUCAUCCCUUUCAGCUUCUUCUGCUGCUUCAUUUCCCGUCUCUGCUUCUCCUCAUUUUCCUCCACAUUUCAUGCUUAGAAAAAAGAACGACAAAAAAUCCACAUGUUGUAAAUACUUAUUUGUAUGGAUGGACACAUUAGAGAAUUAACCAACUGUGCAAAUUUAAUCUGUCCCUUACAUAAAAAUAUUUCAAAACCUACUUAUUUCACAGUUGGAAAAUACUUCAACUAUAAUUUCAAUGAUAUGUUUUAAGGGAAACUUGGCUAGUUUUUAUGGCAUUUAAACAUUUGACUUUCUUCCAGUGAUGUAUUGGCAAGGGAAGGGAGACGUUAAUAUCGACAUAAAAAGUUAGCUAUCCUCUGUAGCAAAAUUAAGUCUACAUGUAUACCAAUAAUUUAAAAUGUGAGAGCCAGAACAGUCGCUCGUGACGACCAUAGAGGAUAGAUAUGGAUUUUUCCUACUAUUACAAGAUUUUUUUACAACAACAUACCUUGUACAAACGUAGGCAAGUAAUUCACAAAAAAAGAUAUUCAAUUAAAAUAAACACAUGAUGCCAUUGCUUAUGUAUCAGUUUGGCUAAAUGUGAAUACAUUGAUUAUGUUUAGUUUUGAAAUUCAAUUCACUGAGUAAUUUAAUUUUAAAAAUUGAUUACAUUUAAUUUUAAUGUGGUAUUGGUUAACUAUAUAUUUUUGUUGUUUUUAAAAAACAGUUACCUACAUUUGACAUGCAUCUCCUGAAAACAUCAAUCUCAUUU